CCUACGGGAGGCAGCAGUGGGGAAUAUUGCACAAUGGGGGAAACCCUGAUGCAGCGACGCCGCGUGAGUGAAGAAGUAAUUCGUUAUGUAAAGCUCUAUCAGCAGGGAAGAAAAUGACGGUACCUGAGUAAGAAGCCCCGGCUAACUACGUGCCAGCAGCCGCGGUCAUACGUAGGGGGCAAGCGUUAUCCGGAUUUAAUGGGUGUAAAGGGAGCGUAGACGGCAGUGCAAGUCUGGAGUGAAAGGCGGGGGCUUAACCCCCGGACUGCUCUGGAAACUGUACGGCUGGAGUGCAGGAGAGGUAAGUGGAAUUCCUAGUGUAGCGGUGAAAUGCGUAGAUAUUAGGAGGAACACCAGUGGCGAAGGCGGCUUACUGGACUGUAACUGACGUUGAGGCUCGAAAGCGUGGGGAGCAAACAGGAUUAGAUACCCGGGUAGUC
This 440-nucleotide ribosomal RNA is filed under the name uncultured bacterium. Its description in RNAcentral is "partial 16S ribosomal RNA". It matches the Rfam family "Bacterial small subunit ribosomal RNA", at positions 338 to 795 of the family's 1533-position model. The record is from RNAcentral.